Protopterus annectens (West African lungfish) is the source of this 82-nucleotide non-coding RNA. NCBI's taxonomy places the organism in Eukaryota, Metazoa, Chordata, Ceratodontiformes, Protopteridae. The record is from the annotation of a RefSeq genome assembly.
GCUGUGAUGGCCGAGAGGUGAAGGUGUUGGACUUGAAAUCCAAUGGGGAUCCCCCUCGCAGGUUCGAAUCCUGCUCACACCA